This 111-nucleotide ribosomal RNA is filed under the name Caerostris darwini. The record is from RNAcentral. Lineage: Eukaryota; Metazoa; Arthropoda; Arachnida; Araneae; Araneidae.
AACGGCUAUACCAUGCUGAAUAUACUGGUUCUCGUUAGAUCACCGAAGUCAAGCAUUAUUGGGCGCUGUCAGUCUUGGGUGGGUGACCACCUGGGAACACCGCGUGCCGUU